RNAcentral lists this long non-coding RNA (788 nucleotides) under Bos taurus (domestic cattle). RNAcentral's name for it is "long non-coding RNA NONBTAT002764". The record is from RNAcentral. Lineage: Eukaryota; Metazoa; Chordata; Mammalia; Artiodactyla; Bovidae.
UAGUAGAUAUGGUGGACAAAUUGAGAAAAUACUGAACUCGAGUCAAAUUGGACUAAAUGCUAUUAUCAUUUUUUUCUCUAAUAUGAAGAAAAUUUAAAUUUAGAUAAAUGCAAGCAGCUAUACAAUGUAUAUAUGAAGUUUCCUUACCCAGCUCUUUCAUAUAAGUUCUAUGAAUGUUUCCACUUUCUACCCAAAAACUGCUGGAAGGUUUUAUGUCAAAAUGGUUGUACAUUUUUCCAAGUCAUAUUUCAGCCUUCUAUUAAUAUGAAAUUGAGAAAUUGUUUUGCUUAGCAAAAGAUGGUGAAAUUGAUUUGUGAAUGCCACUAGCUAUAAAAAGGUAUUAGAAGGAAUUCCAAAUAGACUAAGAAAUAAUCUUAAGUUUCAGGAAGAAAACUAGGAAAUGUACACCCAGUUUUUUUUUUUUUCCCCACACAUAUUUUUAAACCCAGGAACUAUUACAUUCAUACUAGAAACCAAGGUGAACUUGGUAUAUAGUAUUUUGAUAAACUGUUAGAUUUUUUGAAUUGAUUGUAUUAAAUUAUUGAAAUCUUUAUUUGCAUUUGAAUGCGUAAUUUUCAUCUUUAAAGGUCCUUUGCCUUUCAUUUUUAUUACUUGACUCACGAAGACUAAAUUAGGAAUGGCAAUCUAAAAUAUCCAGGAAGAAAAUAAUUUCUGUAUAUAAAAAUGAAUAAAAAUUCUUUUCAAGCCAUGUUGUUUAAAUGACACUCCACAAGUCUACCUACUCUGCCACAUCGUGUAUUAGUUGAAUAAACGACUUCUAGAUUCUC